GAUGAACGCUAGCGAUAGGCUUAACACAUGCAAGUCGAGGGGCAGCAUGGUCUUAGCUUGCUAAGACUGAUGGCGACCGGCGCACGGGUGCGUAACGCGUAUGCAACUUGCCUCACAGAGGGGGAUAACCCGUCGAAAGACGGACUAAUACCGCGUACACUUGGGAUAGGGCAUCCUGACCCAAGGAAAUGAAAUUCGCUGUGAGAUAGGCAUGCGUCCCAUUAGCUAGUUGGUGAGGUAACGGCUCACCAAGGCGACGAUGGGUAGGGGAACUGAGAGGUUGAACCCCCACACUGGGACUGAGACACGGACCAGACUCCUACGGGAGGCAGCAGUGAGGAAUAUUGGUCAAUGGGCGAGAGCCUGAACCAGCCAAGUCGCGUGAAGGAUGACUGUCUUAUGGAUUGUAAACUUCUUUUAUACGGGAAUAACAAGAGCCACGUGUGGCUCCCUGCAUGUACCGUAUGAAUAAGCAUCGGCUAACUCCGUG
Molecule: ribosomal RNA, 490 nt
Filed under: uncultured bacterium
Lineage: Bacteria
Description: partial 16S ribosomal RNA
Rfam family: Bacterial small subunit ribosomal RNA
Source: RNAcentral